This 1063-nucleotide ribosomal RNA is filed under the name Brevibacterium sp. Its description in RNAcentral is "bacterial SSU rRNA". It matches the Rfam family "Bacterial small subunit ribosomal RNA", at positions 33 to 1079 of the family's 1533-position model. Lineage: Bacteria; Bacillati; Actinomycetota; Actinomycetes; Micrococcales; Brevibacteriaceae. The record is from RNAcentral.
AUGCAUGCGGCGUGCUAUACAUGCAAGUCGAGCGAAUCGAUGGGAGCUUGCUCCCUGAGAUUAGCGGCGGACGGGUGAGUAACACGUGGGCAACCUGCCUAUAAGACUGGGAUAACUUCGGGAAACCGGAGCUAAUACCGGAUACGUUCUUUUCUCGCAUGAGAGAAGAUGGAAAGACGGUUUACGCUGUCACUUAUAGAUGGGCCCGCGGCGCAUUAGCUAGUUGGUGAGGUAAUGGCUCACCAAGGCGACGAUGCGUAGCCGACCUGAGAGGGUGAUCGGCCACACUGGGACUGAGACACGGCCCAGACUCCUACGGGAGGCAGCAGUAGGGAAUCUUCCGCAAUGGACGAAAGUCUGACGGAGCAACGCCGCGUGAACGAAGAAGGCCUUCGGGUCGUAAAGUUCUGUUGUUAGGGAAGAACAAGUACCAGAGUAACUGCUGGUACCUUGACGGUACCUAACCAGAAAGCCACGGCUAACUACGUGCCAGCAGCCGCGGUAAUACGUAGGUGGCAAGCGUUGUCCGGAAUUAUUGGGCGUAAAGCGCGCGCAGGUGGUUCCUUAAGUCUGAUGUGAAAGCCCACGGCUCAACCGUGGAGGGUCAUUGGAAACUGGGGAACUUGAGUGCAGAAGAGGAAAGUGGAAUUCCAAGUGUAGCGGUGAAAUGCGUAGAGAUUUGGAGGAACACCAGUGGCGAAGGCGACUUUCUGGUCUGUAACUGACACUGAGGCGCGAAAGCGUGGGGAGCAACAGGAUUAGAUACCCUGGUAGUCCACGCCGUAAACGAUGAGUGCUAAGUGUUAGAGGGUUUCCGCCCUUUAGUGCUGCAGCUAACGCAUUAAGCACUCCGCCUGGGGAGUACGGCCGCAAGGCUGAAACUCAAAGGAAUUGACGGGGGCCCGCACAAGCGGUGGAGCAUGUGGUUUAAUUCGAAGCAACGCGAAGAACCUUACCAGUCUUGACAUCCUCUGACAACCCUAGAGAUAGGGCUUUCCCCUUCGGGGGACAGAGUGACAGGUGGUGCAUGGUUGUCGUCAGCUCGUGUCGUGAGAAUGUUGGG